Molecule: long non-coding RNA, 242 nt
Filed under: Manihot esculenta (cassava)
Lineage: Eukaryota; Viridiplantae; Streptophyta; Magnoliopsida; Malpighiales; Euphorbiaceae
Description: long non-coding RNA (MESC_LNC008191)
Source: RNAcentral
AAGGGCGCUACCUCCUUCUCCCUCUCCGGUACCAGCACCGGAGAAGAAACACACGGAGCAGCCCCCGUUCGACCCAAGGGACGGAGAGAAAUCUGGUCGGUUUCCGGUUCAGACCGCGCUUGAUCCGAAUUAGGCACUUGAGGUUGUUGGGUCGAUGGGAUUUGCGGAGAAGGUGAAACAGUGGGCUGGGUAGCAACGGAAGAAACGGGUUUGGGAGAGGGACGGGUCAGAACCAGCAUACG